RNAcentral lists this ribosomal RNA (497 nucleotides) under uncultured bacterium. RNAcentral's name for it is "partial 16S ribosomal RNA". It matches the Rfam family "Bacterial small subunit ribosomal RNA", at positions 28 to 507 of the family's 1533-position model. The record is from RNAcentral.
GAUGAACGCUGGCGGCGUGCCUAAUACAUGCAAGUCGAGCGAACGGACGAGGAGCUUGCUCCUCUGACGUUAGCGGCGGACGGGUGAGUAACACGUGGAUAACCUACCUAUAAGACUGGGAUAACUUCGGGAAACCGGAGCUAAUACCGGAUAAUAUAUUGAGCCGCAUGGUUCAAUAGUGAAAGACGGUUUUGCUGUCACUUAUAGAUGGAUCCGCGCCGCAUUAGCUAGUUGGUAAGGUAACGGCUUACCAAGGCAACGAUGCGUAGCCGACCUGAGAGGGUGAUCGGCCACACUGGAACUGAGACACGGUCCAGACUCCUACGGGAGGCAGCAGUAGGGAAUCUUCCGCAAUGGGCGAAAGCCUGACGGAGCAACGCCGCGUGAGUGAUGAAGGUCUUCGGAUCGUAAAACUCUGUUAUUAGGGAAGAACAAAUGUGUAAGUAACUAUGCACGUCUUGACGGUACCUAAUCAGAAAGCCACGGCUAACUACGUG